AAAGAAGCAGCCCGAAAUUGGGUCUGUAGCUCAGUUGGUUAGAGCGCACCCCUGAUAAGGGUGAGGUCGGCAGUUCGAAUCUGCCCAGACCCACCAAUUUUGUGUGGGAAACGCCUGUAGAAAUACGGGGCCAUAGCUCAGCUGGGWGAGCGCCURCCUUGCACGCAGGAGGUCAACGGUUCGAUCCCGUUUGGCUCCACCACUACUGCYUCUGUUUGUAUAAAGCUUAGAAAUGAGCAUUCCAUCGUUGYGAUGRUGAAUGUUGAUUUCUAGUCUUUGAYUAGWUCGUUCUUUAAAAAUUUGGGUAUGUGAUAGAAAGAUAGACUGAACGUUACUUUCACUGGUAACGGAUCAGGCUAAGGUAAAAUUUGUGAGUUCUCUUAACUGAGAAAUUCGAAUUUUCGGCGAAUGUCGUCUUCACAGUAUAACCAGAUUGCUUGGGGUUAUA
Molecule: unclassified non-coding RNA, 448 nt
Filed under: uncultured bacterium
Lineage: Bacteria
Description: partial 16S-23S ribosomal RNA intergenic spacer
Rfam family: tRNA (bases 20-93)
Source: RNAcentral